CNUCCUGGGAUAACACUGACGUUCAUGCCCGAAAGCGUGGGUAGCAAACAGGAUUAGAUACCCUGGUAGUNCACGCCCUAAACGAUGUCGAUUAGCUGUUGGGCAGCAUGACUGCUUAGUAGCGAAGCUAACGCGUGAAAUCGACCGCCUGGGGAGUACGGUCGCAAGAUUAAAACUCAAAGGAAUUGACGGGGACCCGCACAAGCGGUGGAUGAUGUGGAUUAAUUCGAUGCAACGCGAAGAACCUUACCUGGUCUUGACAUGUACGGAAUCCUCCAGAGACGGAGGAGUGCCUUCGGGAGCCGUAACACAGGUGCUGCAUGGCUGUCGUCAGCUCGUGUCGUGAGAUGUUGGGUUAAGUCCCGCAACGAGCGCAACCCUUGUCAUUAGUUGCCAUCAUUAAGUUGGGCACUCUAAUGAGACUGCCGGUGACAAGCCGGAGGAAGGUGGGGAUGACGUCAAGUCCUCAUGGCCCUUAUGACCAGGGCUUCACACGUCAUACAAUGGUCGGUACAGAGGGUAGCCAAGCCGCGAGGCGGAGCCAAUCUCACAAAACUGAUCGUAGUCCGGAUUGCACUCUGCAACUCGAGUGCAUGAAGUCGGAAUCGCUAGUAAUCGCAGGUCAGCAUACUGCGGUGAAUACGUUCCCGGGUCUUGUACACACCGCCCGUCACACCAUGGGAGUGGGGGAUACCAGAAGUAGGUAGGGUAACCGCAAGGAGCCCGCUUACCNCGGUA
Molecule: ribosomal RNA, 738 nt
Filed under: uncultured bacterium
Lineage: Bacteria
Description: bacterial SSU rRNA
Rfam family: Bacterial small subunit ribosomal RNA
Source: RNAcentral